Molecule: ribosomal RNA, 492 nt
Filed under: uncultured bacterium
Lineage: Bacteria
Description: partial 16S ribosomal RNA
Rfam family: Bacterial small subunit ribosomal RNA
Source: RNAcentral
ACUCAAAUGAAUAGACGGGGAGGCACACAACCAGUGGAACAUGUGGUUCAAUUUGAUACGAACCAAAGAACCUCACCAGGGUUUGAAAUCCAAGCGUUCUAUUUCCUGGAAACAGGAGAAAUGCGCAAGCAGGCUUGGACAGGUGCUGCAUGGCUGUCGUCAGUUCGUUCCGUGAGGAGUGCCCUUAAGUGGGACAACGAACGCAACCCCUAUCUUGUGUUAAAAAUGUCACAAGAAACUGCCCUGACUUAGUCGGGGAGGAAGGAGGGGCAGACGUCAAGUCAGCAUGGUCCUUAUAUCCUGGGCUACACACAUGUUACAAUGGGAAGAGCAAAGGGUCCUGCCAGUCGGCAACGACGAGCAAAUCCCGGAAACCUUCCCUCAGUAGGGAUUGAGGUCUGAAACUCGACCUCAUGAACGUGGAAUUGGUAGUAAUCGUGGGUCAGCUACACCACGGUGAAUACGUUCUUGCCUCUUGCACACACCGCCCGU